Molecule: ribosomal RNA, 460 nt
Filed under: uncultured bacterium
Lineage: Bacteria
Description: partial 16S ribosomal RNA
Rfam family: Bacterial small subunit ribosomal RNA
Source: RNAcentral
CCUACGGGUGGCAGCAGUGAGGAAUAUUGGUCAAUGGACGGAAGGCUGAACCAGCCAUGCCGCGUGAAGGAAGACGGCGCUAUGAAUUGUAAACUGCUUUUGUAAGAGGGUAAAAUCAGGUACGCGUAUCUGUCUGAAGGUAUCGUACGAAUAAGGAUCGGCUAACUCCGUGCCAGCAGCCGCGGUAAUACGGAGGAUGCAAGCGUUAUCCGGAUUUAUUGGGUUUAAAGGGUGCGUAGGCGGUCGGAUAAGUUAGAGGUGAAAUCCCGAGGCUCAACUUCGGAAUAGCCUCUGAUACUGGCUGGCUAGAGAGUAGUUGCGGUAGGCGGAAUGCAUGGUGUAGCGGUGAAAUGCUUAGAGAUCACACAGAACACCGAUUGCGAAGGCAGCUUACCAAGCUAGUUCUGACGCUGAGGCACGAAAGCGUGGGGAGCAAACAGGAUUAGAUACCCCAGUAGUC